Molecule: ribosomal RNA, 497 nt
Filed under: uncultured bacterium
Lineage: Bacteria
Description: partial 16S ribosomal RNA
Rfam family: Bacterial small subunit ribosomal RNA
Source: RNAcentral
GAUGAACGCUGGCGGCGUGCCUAAUACAUGCAAGUCGAGCGAACAGAUAAGGAGCUUGCUCCUUUGACGUUAGCGGCGGACGGGUGAGUAACACGUGGGUAACCUACCUAUAAGACUGGGAUAACUUCGGGAAACCGGAGCUAAUACCGGAUAACAUUUGGAACCGCAUGGUUCUAAAGUGAAAGAUGGUUUUGCUAUCACUUAUAGAUGGACCCGCGCCGUAUUAGCUAGUUGGUAAGGUAACGGCUUACCAAGGCGACGAUACGUAGCCGACCUGAGAGGGUGAUUGGCCACACUGGAACUGAGACACGGUCCAGACUCCUACGGGAGGCAGCAGUAGGGAAUCUUCCGCAAUGGGCGAAAGCCUGACGGAGCAACGCCGCGUGAGUGAUGAAGGGUUUCGGCUCGUAAAACUCUGUUAUUAGGGAAGAACAAACGUGUAAGUAACUGUGCACGUCUUGACGGUACCUAAUCAGAAAGCCACGGCUAACUACGUG